This 292-nucleotide ribosomal RNA is filed under the name uncultured Alphaproteobacteria bacterium. RNAcentral describes it as "partial 16S ribosomal RNA". Lineage: Bacteria; Pseudomonadati; Pseudomonadota; Alphaproteobacteria. The record is from RNAcentral.
GGACUACUAGGGUUUCUAAUCCUGUUUGCUCCCCACGCUUUCGCACCUCAGCGUCAGUAUCGGGCCAGUGAGCCGCCUUCGCCACUGGUGUUCUUGCGAAUAUCUACGAAUUUCACCUCUACACUCGCAGUUCCACUCACCUCUCCCGAACUCUAGGUCUCCAGUAUCAAAGGCAGUUCUGGAGUUGAGCUCCAGGAUUUCACCCCUGACUUAAAGACCCGCCUACGUGCGCUUUACGCCCAGUGAUUCCGAGCAACGCUAGCCCCCUUCGUAUUACCGCGGCGGCUGGCAC